This 633-nucleotide ribosomal RNA is filed under the name Triticum aestivum (bread wheat). Its description in RNAcentral is "partial small subunit ribosomal RNA". Lineage: Eukaryota; Viridiplantae; Streptophyta; Magnoliopsida; Poales; Poaceae. The record is from RNAcentral.
CUGCAUCAAUUGAGGCCUAUUAAGCGUGUUGCUUUUGAAGGGCCUGUAACAGGAAGGCGUUUCUAUGGCUGCCCAGUCCAGGAAAAUGGUGUGAAUUGUGGUGUUGUAGAGUGGGUUGAUGGGCCUUGGCCAACUGUUUUUCAGAGAUGUCUGUGCAAGCUAUGGGAGAUGUUCCAUGAGCAGAACUUUAGAAGGGUACAGGACAUGGAGAAGUUUGAGAAGGAGUUGGCCAGGCUUAAGACUGAAAAUGACAAGCUUUGCAUUGAGUACACCAAGCUUGUUGAUGAUGUAUCCAAGAUGUUUGAUUGGCAGGAUGGUAGGGUGGACAAGAAGGUGUACCAGAAACAAGUGGAGGAGGAAGAACUUGAGAAGAAGAAGAAGGAGCUAGAGGAGAAAGCUAUGUUGGAGGUGCAGAUGAAAAAGCUCAAACUUGCAAAAGAGCAUAGGUGCAUUUUGCAGAGCCAAGCUGAUAUCAUCAAGAACACCAGGAAGGCUAUGAAGGCUGUUGAAGUUGACAGAGAUGUUCUUAAGAAGGAGAAGGCAAAGCUUGAGCUUGUUGUUGCUGAGCUGCUGAAAGAAGGGUAUGGCAGCAAGGAGAAGUUAGAGCAAAUCAAGGCCAUCCUUGAGUCUUGA